CCUACGGGUGGCAGCAGUGAGGAAUAUUGGUCAAUGGACGAGAGUCUGAACCAGCCAAGUAGCGUGAAGGAUGACUGCCCUAUGGGUUGUAAACUUCUUUUAUAAAGGAAUAAAACGAGGCACGUAUGCCUUUUUGCAUGUACUUUAUGAAUAAGGAUCGGCUAACUCCGUGCCCGCAGCCGCGGUAAUCCGUAGGGGGCAAGCGUUCUCCGGAAUUACUGGGUGGAAAGGGAGCGUAGACGGUAAUGCAGUUCUGGAGUGAAAGGCGGGGGCCCACCCCCCGGACUGCUCUGGAAACUGUGUAACUGGAGUGCAGGAGAGGCAGGCGGAAUUCCUAGUGUAGCGGUGAAAUGCGUAGAUAUUAGGAGGAACACCAGUGGCGAAGGCGGCCUGCUGGACUGUAACUGACGUUGAGGCUCGAAAGCGUGGGGAGCAAACAGGAUUAGAUACCCCUGUAGGC
Molecule: ribosomal RNA, 460 nt
Filed under: uncultured bacterium
Lineage: Bacteria
Description: partial 16S ribosomal RNA
Rfam family: Bacterial small subunit ribosomal RNA
Source: RNAcentral